GGAUACAGUGCCAAUCAAACAUGCGUUGUGUUGUCUCUGGAUGGUGUUCGUCUUCUCAAAUGUUGUCUACAAGGUGCACUACAGAAAUGCCACCAGACCUGCUGAGUUUCUGAAGCAAUUUUUUUCCGAGUGUUCAUGUCAAGUGUUCAGUCGGACCCCAGUGAAGAAUGGAAGAAUGGAUGAAGAAUGAAUUACCUGGCACUGAGGUCAAUGGAAUUACUGGUCACAUUAAAUAUCAUUCCGACCCCUGUUGAUCGCGACGCCUUGGUGCUGGGACUGGAAGGAUUCAAUAACCAGCUCUGUCCUUCUGAGCUAGAGUUGGAAUUCCUGCUGGCAUUGUUUAAGGGCAGGCAGGAACAAAGCAGUGAUUGAGGAUCACGUGAAGAUGUUAAACCACAGCUUUGGACAGAAGACCUCCCGCCUUCUAAGCCACUAAGGGUUAGGAAUGUGUUCACAGAAUUUGGAAUCAAUCGUGCUCUAGAGUGAGAAAGAAACCAGAAACCAUUUCUCUGACAUGAAGUGCCCGUGUUAAAUUGGUCGAUUCUUUUCUUCAGUUGACGAUGACAAAUGAAGACAAGUCAUGCCUGCUACCAGAAAAACUUCUAUUCUUCACCAGCAAGGGCAGCAGAGUUCUGUGACU
Molecule: non-coding RNA, 640 nt
Organism: Chiloscyllium plagiosum (whitespotted bambooshark)
Lineage: Eukaryota; Metazoa; Chordata; Chondrichthyes; Orectolobiformes; Hemiscylliidae
Source: RefSeq, a predicted model, not a curated record